UACGUAGGGUGCGAGCGUUAAUCGGAAUUACUGGGCGUAAAGCGUGCGCAGGUGGUUGUGUAAGCUUGAUGUGAAAUCCCCGGGCUUAACCUGGGAAUGGCAUUGAGGACUGCACGGCUAGAGUGUGGCAGAGGGGGGUGGAAUUCCGCGUGGUAGCAGUGAAAUGCGUAGAGAUGCGGAGGAACACCGAUGGCGAAGGCAGCCCCCUGGGCUAACCACUGACACUCAUGCACGAAAGCGUGGGGAGCAAACAGGG
This 256-nucleotide ribosomal RNA is filed under the name uncultured bacterium. RNAcentral describes it as "partial 16S ribosomal RNA". It matches the Rfam family "Bacterial small subunit ribosomal RNA", at positions 524 to 777 of the family's 1533-position model. The record is from RNAcentral.